RNAcentral lists this ribosomal RNA (440 nucleotides) under uncultured bacterium. RNAcentral describes it as "partial 16S ribosomal RNA". It matches the Rfam family "Bacterial small subunit ribosomal RNA", at positions 338 to 795 of the family's 1533-position model. The record is from RNAcentral.
CCUACGGGUGGCAGCAGUGGGGGAUAUUGCACAAUGGAGGAAACUCUGAUGCAGCGACGCCGCGUGAGUGAAGAAGUAGUUCGGCAUGUAAAGCUCUAUCAGCAGGGAAGAAAAUGAUGGUACCUGACCAAGAAGCCCCGGCUAACUACGUGCCAGCAGCCGCGGUAAUACGUAGGGGGCAAGCGGUAUCCGGAUUUACUGGGUGUAAAGGGAGCGUAGACGGUUAUGUAAGUCUGGAGUGAAACCCCGGGGCCCAACCCAGGGACUGCUUUGGAAACUGGUGAACUGGAGUACAGGAGGGGCAGGCGGAAUUCCUGGUGUAGCGGUGAAAUGCGUAGAUAUUAGGAGGAACACCAGCGGCGAAGGCGGCCUGCUGGACUGAAACUGACGUUGAGGCUCGAAAGCGUGGGGAGCAAACAGGAUUAGAUACCCCUGUAGUC